UAGGGAAUCUUCGGCAAUGGGGGGAACCCUGACCGAGCAACGCCGCGUGAGUGAAGAAGGUUUUCGGAUCGUAAAGCUCUGUUGUUAAGGAAGAACGAGUGUGAGAAUGGAAAGUUCAUACUGUGACGGUACUUAACCAGAAAGGGACGGCUAACUACGUGCCAGCAGCCGCGGUAAUACGUAGGUCCCGAGCGUUGUCCGGAUUUAUUGGGCGUAAAGCGAGCGCAGGCGGUUAGAUAAGUCUGAAGUUAAAGGCAGUGGCUCAACCAUUGUAGGCUUUGGAAACUGUUUAACUUGAGUGCAGAAGGGGAGAGUGGAAUUCCAUGUGUAGCGGUGAAAUGCGUAGAUAGAUGGAGGAACACCGGUGGCGAAAGCGGCUCUCUGGUCUGUAACUGACGCUGAGGCUCGAAAGCGUGGGGAGCGAACAGG
This 429-nucleotide ribosomal RNA is filed under the name Bacteroidota bacterium. RNAcentral describes it as "Bacteroidetes bacterium partial 16S ribosomal RNA". It matches the Rfam family "Bacterial small subunit ribosomal RNA", at positions 355 to 776 of the family's 1533-position model. Lineage: Bacteria; Pseudomonadati; Bacteroidota. The record is from RNAcentral.